RNAcentral lists this ribosomal RNA (388 nucleotides) under Staphylococcus pseudintermedius. RNAcentral's name for it is "bacterial SSU rRNA". It matches the Rfam family "Bacterial small subunit ribosomal RNA", at positions 191 to 567 of the family's 1533-position model. The record is from RNAcentral. Lineage: Bacteria; Bacillati; Bacillota; Bacilli; Caryophanales; Staphylococcaceae.
GGUUCUACAGUGAAAGACGGUCUUGCUGUCACUUAUAGAUGGACCCGCGCCGUAUUAGCUAGUUGGUGGGGUAACGGCCUACCAAGGCGACGAUACGUAGCCGACCUGAGAGGGUGAUCGGCCACACUGGAACUGAGACACGGUCCAGACUCCUACGGGAGGCAGCAGUAGGGAAUCUUCCGCAAUGGGCGAAAGCCUGACGGAGCAACGCCGCGUGAGUGAUGAAGGUCUUCGGAUCGUAAAGCUCUGUUGUUAGGGAAGAACAAAUGUGUAAGUAACUGUGCACAUCUUGACGGUACCUAACCAGAAAGCCACGGCUAACUACGUGCCAGCAGCCGCGGUAAUACGUAGGUGGCAAGCGUUAUCCGGAAUUAUUGGGCGUAAAGCG